RNAcentral lists this ribosomal RNA (554 nucleotides) under Papiliotrema flavescens. RNAcentral's name for it is "eukaryotic LSU rRNA". It matches the Rfam family "Eukaryotic large subunit ribosomal RNA", at positions 84 to 627 of the family's 3401-position model. The record is from RNAcentral. Lineage: Eukaryota; Fungi; Basidiomycota; Tremellomycetes; Tremellales; Rhynchogastremaceae.
UAACGGCGAGUGAACCGGGAAGAGCUCAAAUUUGAAAUCUGGCGUGCUCAGUGCGUCCGAGUUGUAAUCUAUAGAGUCGUUUUCCGUGCCGGACUGUGUCCAAGUCCCUUGGAACAGGGUAUCAAAGAGGGUGAUAAUCCCGUACUUGACACAAUGACCGGUGCUCUGUGAUACGUCUUCUACGAGUCGAGUUGUUUGGGAAUGCAGCUCAAAAUGGGUGGUGAGUUCCAUCUAAAGCUAAAUAUUGGCGAGAGACCGAUAGCGAACAAGUACCGUGAGGGAAAGAUGAAAAGCACUUUGGAAAGAGAGUUAAACAGUACGUGAAAUUGUUAAAAGGGAAACGAUUGAAGUCAGUCGUGACUGAGAGGCUCAGCCGGUUCUGCCGGUGUAUUCCCCUCAGUCGGGUCAACAUCAGUUUUGUUCGGUGGAUAAGGGCAGUUGGAAGGUGGCACCCUCGGGUGUGUUAUAGCCAGCUGUCGCAUACAUCGGAUGAGACUGAGGAAUGCAGCUCGCCUUUAUGGCCGGGGUUCGCCCACGUUCGAGCUUAGGAUGUU